GCUGAACAAGACAAGUGGGACCUGCUCUCAGCCUUGGGCUCCCUGCCAGUGCCCCUCACUCUCGACCUGCAGCCCCUGCCGGCCCCCCUCGNGAUGUGAGAUGUGUAUAAGAGACAGCCCGCCCAGCCCUGCGGCCCCCCUCACUCCCAACCUGCAGCCCCUACUAGCUCAGCCCUGCUGGCCCCUCUCACUCCCGCCCCACAGCCCCUGCGGGCCCAGCCCUGCUGGUGUCCCUCACUCCCAAUUCGCAGUCCACACCAGCCCUGCCCUGCCAGUCCCCGUCACUCCCAACCUGCAGCCAUUAUUAGCCCAGGAAUCCCUCAUUGAAUGUUGACUUCUAGCAUGCUGCAUAAUCCUGCAAUUCUAUUACCCACAACCAUUCGGGAACUCAGGGCCCCCUGACCCCACUCCCUCGCCCUCACAGAGCCAGGGCAAGAACCCAGGAGUCCCGGCUCCCAGACCCCCCCAGCUCUAGCCCACCAGACCCCACUCCCCUCACAGAGCUGGGGAGAAAACCCAGGAGUCCCAGCGUCCUCUCUGACACUUUGCAGCACUGACACACAGAAACCUCCACACUCGCCUCCCUGGUGCCUGGCCCCCGAGGAGCUGCCCGAUCCCUGCUGCGGUGCCCAGAUUGGCUCCUUGCUGGCUGAGGCUGAGGAUUUAGGCUCAACCUUUCCUCCCGCCCCCAGCCCAGGCAGCCAGGCCUGUCCCCACCUGCCUGGGUGUGGUCUGGGCCCUGCCCUACUUAACCAGCCGAGCCAGGGGAGGGCUGAGCUGUGCUGCCUGUGCCUAGCUGUUCUGCCCUGGGGACCCGCCACCCAGUCUCAGAUCCAGGAUGCAGCCAGUCACCACUGGCCUCCUGCUGCUCUUGGCAGUGGCAUUUCCUGUCCUGAAAGCUGAACACCCCAUGGGUGAGUUCACCCUCUGCUCUCCUGCUGCCAGCAUGGUCCUGAGCUGCCCUGGGAGGUGGGAGGGAGCAGA
Molecule: long non-coding RNA, 984 nt
Filed under: Gopherus agassizii (Agassiz's desert tortoise)
Lineage: Eukaryota; Metazoa; Chordata; Testudines; Testudinidae
Description: lncRNA (ENSGAGG00000002345.1)
Source: RNAcentral